RNAcentral lists this long non-coding RNA (2208 nucleotides) under Anthonomus grandis grandis. Its description in RNAcentral is "uncharacterized LOC126738367". The record is from RNAcentral. Lineage: Eukaryota; Metazoa; Arthropoda; Insecta; Coleoptera; Curculionidae.
UUUCUGGCAGUACGCCGCGGGUACAGAAAACAGACCAAGGAUCCUCUUUGCGUUCUGUGGCGGCGGGCCACAAAGUUUACCUAGUGCGAGAUUUUAUGUUUUCACGUAUCCAAAAUGCCCCGUAAAAGAGUCCCAAAAACUGAUUGUUCAAGUCGAGAUAUAUCUUUAUAUAAAUCUGCAUAUGCAGAGCUCAAAAAUUGAAGUUCUCUACGCUUAGCUGCCGACCAAUUUGGAAUCUCUCAUGUGUCUUUGUUGAGAUACAAGCGAAAGAAAGUAGCUGCGGGGAAUACUGAAGGUCAACCACCUGUUACAAUGGGCUAUAAACCUGCAAAUAAAGUUUUUAAUGAACUUCAAGAAACCGAAAUGGUAAAGUACAUAAAAAAAGCUGCAGACAUUUAUCAAGGUCUGUCAACUAAAGAUAUUCGGAGACUUGCGUUAGAAUUAACCAUUAAAUAUGAUAUAGAUAAACCGGAUAUAGACACUUGGAUUAAAAACGGCAUGGCUGGAGAAGACUGGUUUUCCGGUCUUAUGUCAAGACACCGUGACUUAUCAAUAAGAGCACCAUAAGCAACCAGCUUAGCCAGAGCAACCAGCUUGCAAACAAUUGUGCAAAUGUUUCUGUAUUUGUUAAUAAUCUUGCCAAAGUUUUGGAUCGAGACACAUUUGAAGCAAAGGAUAUUUACAACGUAGACGAAACUGGUGUGACAACAGUCCAGAAACCAAAUCGAAUUGUAGCAAAAAGAGGCAUGGAACAAGUGGGUGCAAUUACCUCACAAGAACGUGGUACACUCGUCAACAGUUACGGUGGCAAUAAACGCACUAGGCAAUUCGAUUCCGCCCAUGUUUAUUUUUCCUCAACUGCGGUUUCAGGAUCAUUUUAUUUGUGAUGGUCCACCAGGGUGUAUUGGGGCUGGAAACGGGUCAGGAUGGAUGCAAGAAAAAGAGUUCGUCUUGUUCUUAAAACACUUUCAAAAGCACACAAAUUCUUCACAAGCUCAUAAGGUUCUACUCACACUGGAUAGCCACUCAUCCCAUAUUAGUAUAGAAGCUGUAGACUAUUGUAAAACUCAUGGAAUAGUAAUGCUUUCUUUCUCACCCCACUGCUCACAUAAAUGUCAGCCCCUCGAUAGAACAGUUUUUGGUCCUCCUAAGAAAGCAAUAAACUCCGCUUGUGAUGGUUGGAUUCGUAGUCACCCUGGUAAACCGAUGUCUAUAUAUGAUUUACCCGGAAUUGUCGCAACAUCAUUGCCCUUAGCUCUUACACAAAGCAAUAUCCAAGCCGGAUUUAAGUGUACAGGGAUAUAUCCUUUUAACAGAGAUAUUUUUACGGAAACAGAUUUCUCGCCUCCAAUCGAACCUUCAGUUUCACCUGCUUUAGAUCCAGGCAACAAUCUGAAUCUGACAGAUCCUACUUUGGAAGAUACAUUUGAUAAUCCUACCUCAUCUACAUCUGUUACCAAUAGGUUGCCUUCAACCGAACCUCCAAAUGAUAAUCCUAGUUCAAAUCCAGGAAACAAUCUGACUGUAUCAACCUUAGAAGAUGAGUUUCAAAACCCAACGCCAUCAACUUCUCGGGGCCUAAAAAAUUGUGAAAUUUCAUGAAACGAAAAUUCGAAAACACCCAAAAUAACACGUUUUCACCAGAAGUUGCUAGGCCUUUCGGAAAAGCUUCACCAAGAAAAAUAAACGGAAGAGGAAAGACAAAGAGGAAGUCAACCGUGUACACCGAUACACCGGAAAAGGAGGAAAUAGAGAGAGAAGCUAAUAAGAAAACACAAAAGGUCAAACGGAAUCUGGAAACCGAAAAGAAAAUCCAAAAAAAAGCACCCGUGAGAACAAGAAAGAAGUUAUCUGAAAAUUUUACCGACGACGAAAGUGAAUGUGAUUGGUGUGUGUUGAACCAUUUAAUAAAAGUAAGCCAGGUAAACAGUGGAUCUGAUGUACUAACUGCAAAAUGUGGUCGCACGAAGCAUGCACACCACAAGAGCUCACAUAUAAUGUUUGCCAUAAUUGCCAAAGGGACUGACCAAAAAUUGAAAGUUAAGUGUUACACAUCUAUAUUAUAAGAACUACCAGUUGUUGUUUUUUGUUUUUAAACUUUUUUCUAAGUUUUAUUUUAUGUUCCUACGUUUCUGUUUAAUGUUAAUUUUUUACAGUUUCUAUAUGAUUUUGAGUCUUUUUUGAAUAAUAAAAGAAAAUAAAAAGAAA